This 162-nucleotide microRNA precursor is filed under the name Daucus carota subsp. sativus. RNAcentral's name for it is "sRNA DCAR_mi00076". It matches the Rfam family "MIR396 microRNA precursor family". Lineage: Eukaryota; Viridiplantae; Streptophyta; Magnoliopsida; Apiales; Apiaceae. The record is from Rfam by way of RNAcentral.
AGUCAUGCUUUUCCACAGCUUUCUUGAACUUCAAUUCUAUAAACGUGUGUUUGAUCUUCUGAUCCUCCGUCGAUAUUUCACAUACACAUGAUAUGCAAAUAUAGAUGAAAUCGACAUUGCAUAUAUGUGGAAGUUCAAGAAAGCUGUGGGAAGACAUGGCAA